This 387-nucleotide ribosomal RNA is filed under the name Amolops mantzorum (Kangting sucker frog). Its description in RNAcentral is "partial 12S ribosomal RNA". The record is from RNAcentral. Lineage: Eukaryota; Metazoa; Chordata; Amphibia; Anura; Ranidae.
CCCACCCCCGAGAGGAGCCUGUUCUAUAAUCGAUAAUCCCCGCUAUACCCUACCAUUCCUCGCCUCAGUCUGUAUACCUCCGUCGAAAGCCUACCCUGUGAACGUCCAGUAAGCCCAAUGACCCCCCUCAACACGUCAGGUCAAGGUGCAGCUCACGGAAUGGCCCGUAAUGGGCUAGAAUUUCUAACAUAGAACAAACGAAAGGCCAUGUGAAACCAUAGUCACGAAGGUGGAUCUAGCAGUAAAAAGAAAAUAGAGUGUUCUUUUUAACCCGGCUCUGGGACCACUUCACGUUUAUAACCCUUUAUCCGCACCUUAGAAGAGGCAAGUCGUAACACGGUAAGUGUACUGGAAAGUGCACUUGGAUUACAACAAAAUAUAGCUUAA